Molecule: ribosomal RNA, 1908 nt
Filed under: Podisus maculiventris (spined soldier bug)
Lineage: Eukaryota; Metazoa; Arthropoda; Insecta; Hemiptera; Pentatomidae
Description: bacterial LSU rRNA
Rfam family: Bacterial large subunit ribosomal RNA
Source: RNAcentral
GUAUGUGUGUUUAGCGAUAGUGAAAAGUACCGUGAGGGAAAGAUGAAAAGUAAGUCUAUGACUGGUGAAAUAGAACCUGAAUUAGCAAUCAUAUAAGCACUUAGAGCCCGAAGCUGAACAUCAGAUAUGGGUGAUAAGGUACCUUUUGUAUAAUGGGUUAGCAAGUUAACAUGGGUGGCAAGGUUAAAACCCCAGCGAAAGCGAUUGAUUUAAGUAUUUCUUAAAUGCGAGAUUAGUCAUUUAUGUUAGACCCGAAAACUAGUGAUCUUUGCAUGGCCAGGUUUUAUAAUGGACCGAACAGGUUAACGUUGCAGUGUUAUCUGAUGAGCUGUGCAAUGUAGGUGAAAGGCCAAUCUGACUAGUAGAUAGCUGGUAUUCCUCGAAACAUAUUUUAGUAUGACUUUAUUGUAAGAUUAACGCAGGUACAGCACUGAUUACCAUACUGGUUCGCCAGUUUAAUUGGGGGGUUACAUAACUCUAUCAUUGGUAGUUAACCUCGGAAUUACGUUAAUUGGUAAAUAAAUUUCAGACUAUUCAUGAUAAGGUGGAUAGUCGAGACGGAAACAGCCGUGAGCAUAAGUUAAGGUCCCAAAAUAAUUAUUAAGUGAAAUUAAGGAAGUGAAAGUUCUAAUACAACUAUGCAGUGGGCUUGGUAGUGGCUACCUGUUAAUGAUAGUGUAACAACUCAGUAGUCUAAUAGGAAUUUUUGCGCCGAAAAUAAACGGGUCUAGAUAAUUUACCGAAACUAUGCCAACGUACACUUUAUUAGAGGUGUAUGGUUGAGUAGAGGAACAUUCAGCGCGGUUGAAGAAUAGUGUUUCAUUAUUUGGACGUAGCUGAAGAGAGAAUGCUAACAUGAGUAACGUAGAAAGAAGUUAUAAUACUUCUCGCCGAAUACGAGAGGGUUCCAUGGAAAUGUUUAACAGCCAUGGUUUAAAACGGCCUCUAAGGGUUAUGACUAAUGUUGUAACCUGAUGAGUAAUAUGCAGAAAAGCCAAUUAAUAUUGGUUCAGGAAAACUAUGCAUUUAUUACCGUACCCUAAACCGACACAGGUUCGUAGGUAGAGAAUACUAAGGCGUAGAGAUAAUACUAGGUAAGGAACUCGGCAAAUUGCGUGCGUACAUUCGAUAAUAAGCACGACCAAUGAAAAUUGGUGACACAGAAUCGAAAGCCACAACUGUUUACCUAAAACACAGGCAUCUGCUAUAUGACAAUAUUGUAUAGGUGCUGAAUCUUGCCCAAUGCCAUGAGUAUAAGUUUUAAUCCAAAAAAAGAUUAGAAUGAACCUCUGGUGAAUGGCGGUCUUAACUAUAAGGAUCCUAAGGUAGCGAAAUUCCUUGGCCAUUAAAUGUGGUCCUGCAUCAAUAGAGUAAUGAUGGCUUUGCUGUCUCACCUAGUAGCUCAGUGAAAUUGAAUUAGCCGUGAAGAUGCGGUUUACGCUCGGGUAGACGGGAAGACCCUAUGCAGCUUUACUACAACUAGUUAUCGUAUCGGCCUUUAUCAGGUGUAGCGUAGAAGGUAGUGCAUUAGCACGCAGGUGAAACACCUUUACUGAUAUAAGGCUAGUACUUAUCCUAAAUAUGGGAAAAAAUGACUGGCGGGUAGUUUAACUGGGACGGUUUCCUUUAAUAUAGUAUCAAAGGACUCCAAAGGUAUGUUUACAUUAGAUGGAAACUAAUUGGCCAUGUAGGGCUAUCGACGAAUUUAUUCGUUAUUAAGUGUAAAGGCAAAAACAUGCUUGACUGCUAGACUUAUAAGUCGCGCAGGUACGUAAGUAGGGCUUAGUGAUCCGGUGGUUCUAAAUGGAUAGGCCAUCGCUCAAGAAAUAAAAGUUACGCUAGGGAUAACAGGCUGAUACCGCACGAGAGUUCAUAUUGUCUGCGGUGUUUGGCACCUCGAUGUCGACU